This 69-nucleotide transfer RNA is filed under the name Antilocapra americana (pronghorn). RNAcentral describes it as "tRNA-Lys". It matches the Rfam family "tRNA". Rfam says of the family: Transfer RNA (tRNA) molecules are approximately 80 nucleotides in length. Their secondary structure includes four short double-helical elements and three loops (D, anti-codon, and T loops). The record is from RNAcentral. Lineage: Eukaryota; Metazoa; Chordata; Mammalia; Artiodactyla; Antilocapridae.
CGUUGAGAAGCUAAAAUCAGCGCUAGCCUUUUAAGCUAGAGACUGGAAGCAUAACACUUCCCUUGACGA